Molecule: ribosomal RNA, 564 nt
Filed under: uncultured Actinomycetes bacterium
Lineage: Bacteria; Bacillati; Actinomycetota; Actinomycetes
Description: bacterial SSU rRNA
Rfam family: Bacterial small subunit ribosomal RNA
Source: RNAcentral
CCUACGGGAGGCAGCAGUGGGGAAUCUUGCGCAAUGGGCGAAAGCCUGACGCAGCAACGCCGCGUGCGGGAAGAAGGCUUUAGGGUUGUAAACCGCUUUCAGCAGGGAAGAAAAUGACGGUACCUGCAGAAGAAGGUGCGGCCAACUACGUGCCAGCAGCCGCGGUGACACGUAGGCACCAAGCGUUGUCCGGAUUUAUUGGGCGUAAAGAGCUCGUAGGCGGUUCAGUAAGUCGGGUGUGAAAACUCUGGGCUUAACCCAGAGCCGCCACCCGAUACUGCUGUGACUUGAGUCCGGUAGGGGAGCGGGGAAUUCCUGGUGUAGCGGUGAAAUGCGCAGAUAUCAGGAGGAACACCGGUGGCGAAGGCGCCGCUCUGGGCCGAGACUGACGCUGAGGAGCGAAAGCAUGGGUAGCAAACAGGAUUAGAUACCCUGGUAGUCCAUGCCGUAAACGGUGGGCACUAGGUGUGGGUUCCAACUAACGGGAUCCGCGCCGUCGCUAACGCAUUAAGUGCCCCGCCUGGGGAGUACGGUCGCAAGACUAAAACUCAAAGGAAUUGACGG